AAAUUAAUUAGAGGAUUUAAUGUCAGAAAGAAAUUUCAAAAAAUCAUUUCAGCACCUCCAUGGGGGGAAACUACAGAUAUUGAACAUGACAUUUAGACACUACACUAGUACAUCUUAAUAAUCAACAUGGAAUAGAUAGAGCAUUUUCCUUCCAUGAAACUGUUUAUCAUUGUAUUAUGCCAAAAGAACCAUUCUUUGGCUUCUCCUCAUACCUCAUAGAAUGGCAUUUGUUCAUAAUUAAGUCAUCACACUCCAAA
This 257-nucleotide unclassified non-coding RNA is filed under the name Hevea brasiliensis (rubber tree). The record is from RNAcentral. Lineage: Eukaryota; Viridiplantae; Streptophyta; Magnoliopsida; Malpighiales; Euphorbiaceae.